CUGAGCACCUUGGCCCAAGAGAGGAAACGGAAGGCACUGAGGCAGUCCACAGCCCAGCCACAGUGUCCUCAGAUGGGCAGCUCAGGCCUGGUGGAGGGGUGUGGCCGCAGGUGGGAUGCAGCCGUGUUCAGCCCUGUGAGCAGGACGCCUUGAUGUUUCACAAGGAUAUUUCGCAGUCCUCCUGCGCUGGAAAUGUACUGGCUCUGUUCCUGACACAUUCCUAUGGCCCCCAGCGUCACACAGGUGUUUGGGACAGCACCUGACCUCCUAAUCUGAUGGGCUUACAAGGAAAGGUCAAGCCCCACAGCUCACACAAGCUGCAGGACAAGUCUGUGGUGCUCAGUGUGUGCACAAGGAUUCCAGAACAUUCCCUUUAUCUCAAGAGGCCCUUGUACCCCGAGCAGUAUACUCCCAGGUUAACUCCCAGGCCCUGUCGAGCUGCCUGGAGGCCUCACUCUGCUCUGCCCUUUGCAACUGCUGAGGGAGUCACCACGUCCCCUGGAGGUGCAGCAGGACUGGCGCCCUCACAAUGAACCUCAUCAGCCCUGGACAGGUCACCUCGCCAACCCUUGGCUUCCUUGGCUUCUAAAAGGAAUAUGAUGCCACCUGAAGGGUUGAAGGAGCAUCUGCCCCCAUCUCAUCAAAAGUACAAGCUCUAAAGGACCCUCCAUGGCCAGCAGAGCUGAGCAGAGGGACCUGGUAUGAGGGUAGCUGAAUAAGCCUCCGGGGAAUGGCUCUGCUUCCUCAUCCUCCUCCUGCCUCUGACAGCUCCCCUGCUGUCCCAGAAGACCCUCCCUGGCCUCAUCUUCCCUGUCCCAUCUUUGUCAACAAUGCCCAAGAUUCUUUCCCAGACUAGAGACCCACAACUCCAACACCAUCCUGGGUAUUUCCAGACAUCUCAAACGCAUGUCACAAAAUAGACUCCCACCCACCUCUUCUCUAUGCCAUAUUGUGACUUUAAACUUUUCAUGACGUAUACAGACUCACCUUAAAGUGCACAUGCACAAACUGAAACACCCAGGGCACCAGCACCCAGAUGAAGAAACAAACAUUGGUGGCACCCCAGAAGUCCCCUGUGCCCCUUCCAGUAGGGACCAAAAUCCUGACUUCUGUCAGUUUAGCCCAGUUUUAAACUUGGUAUAAAUGGCAUCAUUUAGUCAUACCCUCCUGUCACUAGCUUCUUUCACUCAACACUGUGAGAUUGACCCCCAGCCUUGGGAGGAGUUGCAUGUGAUUCGUUCUCUUGCAGGGUGAGGGUCUCACUAGUUGUCUACUCUAGUGAAGGGCAAUUGAGCUGCUCUCCAUUUGGGGCCACUUGGGUACUGCUGUAAUGGAACAUUGUUGUGAAUGUCCACAAUUUAUUGCUUAAGUGUACAUCACCUGGCAGCAUUUAAGAGAGUCUGACCUAUAUAUGGUAAGAUGGGAAACUGGGGAGGAGUCAUGAAGGAAUAUGGCCUCCAGCCAAGGGAAGAUGCUGAACCCAGGCAGCAUGGCUCACAGCCUGCAGCCAGGCUCUACAGAGGAGGAACUGGCCAUACCUCAACCCCAGUCCCUGGGAACUCCAGGCCUCCUAUAUUUGGGUUGGCCUGGGUUUGCAGCUGAGGUUGGAACCAUCCUAGAUUGUCCACAAGGAGCCCUGUAGAAACAGGCUUCCUUUCUGCUUGCCAACCUCACAGUGGCCCAUGUGUCCCCAGAACUGGCCAAUCUACAUGCCUAGAGAGGCUCAGCCCUCCCCAGUUGCUAUAUAGCCCUAGAGGGCGGCCGAAGCUUCCCUGGAGGGCUGGCUGAUGGCUGUUUUGUGCCUGAGGAUGGUUGACCUGCAACAAGAGCCGAUGACCAAAGGCCAUCCAUGCACGUUGCAGAUGGCAGAGGCAUUGUCCCCUGGACUACCUGUCUAGUCGUAAUGCUAGAGUGCUGGACUGAGAGCCAUGAAAAUAUACCCCUACCCCUUUGCUACCCCCAAGACACACAUGCCUUAUUUCAGUACCAUUCAAGAACUCAUCCUAGCCCUUCAAGUCCUCAGAGUGACAGUCAUUCACUCAUAUAGUCACCCAUAGACUCGGCAUACAGUUAUUGAGAAUCUUUGUGAGCCAGAUACUGAUCCUGAAACUGGAUUAAGUAAUGAAAAAAAACCAGCCCAGACUCUGCCCUCAGGAAGCCUGCAGGCUGGUGAGCAAGCUCGGUUGUGGCAAAUAAGCUCCCCCGUUUUGCAUCCUACCAGGUACCUGUGUCACUCUGGGUGAUGCAAGCCUAUAGUUGCAGCUCUGGCCUGAAGAUUGACCUUCUCUCAGACAGAGAGAUUUCCUUUGGAAAGUGUAGUCAAGUGUCCAUGAGUGUAAUGUAAGCUACAGAAAGUACAGUUUCACACAGGUAGGAUAUUUUUUUUUGGAGGGGAGGGGUAACUUUUAGCCAAAGGAAUUGUAUGCUGGGGUGUGGUGGGAAGGAAUCACUGCAGGACCCCUGGGUUUAUAAGGUCAAGGAAUCCAAAAUGCAGACCCAAAGAGUGCAGGGGAGGGGCACAAGGCAAAUGCAUAGGGAAGAUCCCAAAGCCUUUUUAGGGUUGGCCCUGCAGGACAGGAGACAUCAGUCCUGUGGAGGGCAGGCUGCAGAGGUUUCUGGCUGGAUGGUAGGCACUGGUGCCAGGCCCAGGCCUGGAGGGAGCCCUGCCCUCUGCAAGUGCACAUAAGCCUCUUGUGACUGUGAUGAUCUCUCUUGGUGACUGACAGCCGGGAGGCAUCCACCAAGCCUGUGUGAAGCAAUGGGGCAUCAAGCAGAGGGUGGGGCAGACUAAGCUAAUGGAGCCUAAUGGGAGGAAGGGGUGACAGGCUUCGCCUAGAGCAGCACUUUCCCCAGGCACAGCCCAGCUUGUGACAACACGCUCCCUGCUGCCAGCUGGAACACGACCGUGACUCUCUUGGGCUCACCAUGGCAUCUCCAACCAAGACGCUGGAAUCUGUGAACUGUCACCACUCCAGGAGGCUGACUGCAUUCCUUCUUUCCAAGUCUCAAGGAGAAAGAUGUCCUAGGGGGGCGCCUCCCAAAUGUAAGGUGCACACAAAUCCCCUGGCGCUUAAGACAGCUCGGGACUCGGGUGGUCUGAGUGGGACUGAGAUUCUCAUUUCUCACAAGUUCUAGAGUGUGCAAAGCUACCUGUGAGUAGGCCACACUUUGAGUAGCAAGAGUUGAACAUUACCAGAAGGGAAGAAACCAAACUGUCACCUCGGUUUGGGGCGGGGUGGGGGGGUUGGAUCUAGCACCUGGUUGUACAGGCAGUUUUUAAAGUACAGAUAACUGAUUUCUUGAGCAGUCUGCUUCAUGAGAUGCAAAUAAAAUACGGGUUUUUAAGUCAUUCUCUUUCAACAAUCAGAAAGCUUCUUUUUUUUUUUUUUUUUUUUGAGUAAUGGAACUGAGAUGAUGGCACCAUUGUUAGAAAUAGGGAAGCCAUUUAAAGAAGAAUGAAAUUAUGGCAUUUGUCAGUCAAUGGACGGAGUUGGAGAAUGUCAUGCUAAGCAAAAUAAGCCAAUCCCAAAAAAAAACAAAGGCCAAAUGUUUUCUCUAACAUGCGGAUGCUAAUUCACAAUGGAGGCCCAGCACUAGAGAAGAAUAGCAUUACCUGAGAUUAGGUAGAGGGAAGUGAAGGGAGGGGAGGGGAGGGGAUGUGGAGAUGGAAAGAUAGUAGAAUGAAACAGACAUUAUUACUGUAUGUAUAUAUGUGACUACAUGACCAAUGUGACUCUACAACAUGUACACUCAGAAAAAUGAGAAAUUAUAUCCUAUCUAUGUAUGAUAUAUCAAAGUUCAUAAAUGCAUUCUACUGUCAUGUAUAGCUAAUUAAAACAAAUAAAAAAUUUCAAAAUUAAAAAACCCUCAAAAAAAGAAAGAAAGAAGGAAGCCAGAGACAGAUGGUUUAAAGGUAAAUAAUAAUAAAAACCACCUUUGCUUCAAUGCCAA
Molecule: long non-coding RNA, 3951 nt
Organism: Marmota monax (woodchuck)
Lineage: Eukaryota; Metazoa; Chordata; Mammalia; Rodentia; Sciuridae
Exons: 2
Source: RefSeq, a predicted model, not a curated record